RNAcentral lists this long non-coding RNA (250 nucleotides) under Chlamydomonas reinhardtii. RNAcentral describes it as "long non-coding RNA (CREI_LNC000816)". Lineage: Eukaryota; Viridiplantae; Chlorophyta; Chlorophyceae; Chlamydomonadales; Chlamydomonadaceae. The record is from RNAcentral.
GCCUGGCCAAGCAGCUGAGCGCCAAGGGCGUCGCCUACGACCACAUCCUGUUCGCGCAGUCGGACUUCUUCUAGGCCGGGGGCGCUGUGUGCCGCCUACCUAAGUGCCGCCUACGCGCCUGUGUGUGCCGCCUACCUAGGUGCCGACUACCUAGGUGCCGCCAGGCCGGCGUGUCCUGGUCACGCAGCCACAGGCCUUUUCCGGGCGAUGGCGGGGCUGUGGGGAGUGGUCGAGCGGAUGCUAGAUAGAU